GAGUUUGAUCAUGGCUCAGAUUGAACGCUGGCGGCAGGCCUAACACAUGCAAGUCGAGCGGAUGAAGGGAGCUUGCUCCUGGAUUCAGCGGCGGACGGGUGAGUAAUGCCUAGGAAUCUGCCUGGUAGUGGGGGAUAACGUCCGGAAACGGGCGCUAAUACGCAUACGUCCUGAGGGAGAAAGUGGGGAGUCUUCGGACCUCACGCUAUCAGAUGAGCCUAGGUCGGAUUAGCUAGUUGGUGGGGUAAAGGCCUACCAAGGCGACGAUCCGUAACUGGUCUGAGAGGAUGAUCAGUCACACUGGAACUGAGACACGGUCCAGACUCCUACGGGAGGCAGCAGUGGGGAAUAUUGGACAAUGGGCGAAAGCCUGAUCCAGCCAUGCCGCGCGUGUGAAGAAGGUCUUCGGAUUGUAAAGCACUUUAAGUUGGGAGGAAGGGCAGUAAGUUAAUACCUUGCUGUUUUGACGUUACCAACAGAAUAAGCACGGCUAACUUCGUGCCAGCAGCAC
This 511-nucleotide ribosomal RNA is filed under the name uncultured microorganism. RNAcentral describes it as "bacterial SSU rRNA". It matches the Rfam family "Bacterial small subunit ribosomal RNA", at positions 9 to 517 of the family's 1533-position model. The record is from RNAcentral.